Long non-coding RNA from Falco peregrinus (peregrine falcon), 409 nucleotides. RefSeq lists it as uncharacterized. The record is from RefSeq and is a predicted model, not a curated record. The transcript has 3 exons. Lineage: Eukaryota; Metazoa; Chordata; Aves; Falconiformes; Falconidae.
AAUAAAAGCAACUAUUUGGCAUUGUUACAAUUAAUUAUUAAAAGAUGUAUAUUAAUUAACUUAGUAUCUAUUUUGUUUUAUUUUAUUUUGUCUGUCCUGUUUUAUUUUCUUAGACUUUGUGUGUGCUUAGGAACCAGUCCCAUACGUCUGAUUUCCAGUUUUAUCAUAGAACUAAUCUCAUUGUUGUCGGUGGGAUUACUGGAAUUGUACUAGAGAAAAUUCUAUGUCUUCCUUCCUCCACACAGUGAGAAAAUAUCAGGUUCAGGCUACGCUGGUUGUUUUCCAACAUUUCCAGUCAAAUAUUCAGACCUGCUUUACAAGCACUGGCCUGCUCCAAACCAACAGCCACCUUUUGUUUUUUUGGAAUUUGUAUUGACGGUUCAUAGAAAGCAAAAAACAUAUCAUGGAA